AUGGCAACACAUCAUUGGAUCAUAAUAUGUGGCAUAAAGCACCAUGUUCAAGUAGGGAUUACAGCGGGGUGCAGGAGAGAGGACCGCGUAAAAGAGAUGAGGAUGGUGAUGAUGAUGGUGAUGUUGAUGAAGACGAUCACCGCGACGAUGAUUCCCCUCCCAAUGCCACUCCGGCGCCACCGAGAGAGAGGAGGAGAGGUUCUCCCCCUUGUGCUUCCUCCUCCAUGGCCUCCCCCUGGAUGGGGAGAGGUUCUCCCUCUGGUCCUUGGCCUUAAUGGCAAUGAUGACCCCUCCGAGAUCCUUCCCCAUGGCCUCCGGUGA
This 321-nucleotide ribosomal RNA is filed under the name Triticum aestivum (bread wheat). RNAcentral's name for it is "partial small subunit ribosomal RNA". The record is from RNAcentral. Lineage: Eukaryota; Viridiplantae; Streptophyta; Magnoliopsida; Poales; Poaceae.